RNAcentral lists this transfer-messenger RNA (395 nucleotides) under Candidatus Saccharibacteria bacterium oral taxon 955. It matches the Rfam family "transfer-messenger RNA". Rfam says of the family: Bacterial tmRNA, also known as 10Sa RNA or SsrA, is named for its dual tRNA and mRNA-like properties. The record is from RNAcentral. Lineage: Bacteria; Candidatus Saccharimonadota.
GGGGCUGAUAUAGCUUUCGACACUAGGACUUUAACAGACCGUACCAGCACACCGACUUCUGACGUAAUCAGAAUUAAUAAUUGCAACUCAAAAACUUGCAGCGCAGUUCCGUGAUGUCCGCGAUAUUCUCGCAGGCAUGCGUACUGCACCAGUUCUGGCCUAAGUCGCCGAACCGCUUCGGACUAGAUUUCUGCUAUAGUCACGAAGUGUCAUAUUUAGCAGGAUCGGUUUUUGUCGAUGUCGCAUCGGCGAACUCUUAAAAUUUUGCGACCUAGACGUUCGUAUGUUUGUCUUAUUUUUAGCGCGCGUUUAGCCAUUUCUCGAAUAAGACUAUGUGUGUAGACGGACGGUAGGUUGCCUAGUGGACCCGGGGGCGGUACCCGGCAGCUCCACCA